Molecule: microRNA precursor, 95 nt
Filed under: Myotis lucifugus (little brown bat)
Lineage: Eukaryota; Metazoa; Chordata; Mammalia; Chiroptera; Vespertilionidae
Description: miRNA (ENSMLUG00000024218.1)
Source: RNAcentral
CAUGUGUUGAUUAAUGGAUUGGGGACAAUUUGUGUUUAUAUAUAUAUAUAUAUAUAUACACACACACACACACACACACACACACACACACACAC